Molecule: ribosomal RNA, 254 nt
Filed under: uncultured bacterium
Lineage: Bacteria
Description: partial 16S ribosomal RNA
Rfam family: Bacterial small subunit ribosomal RNA
Source: RNAcentral
UACGUAGGGGGCAAGCGUUGUCCGGAUUUAUUGGGCGUAAAGAGCGUGUAGGCGGUUUGGUAGGUCCGUUGUGAAAACUCGAGGCUCAACCUCGAGACGCCGAUGGAAACCAUCAGACUAGAGUCCGGAAGAGGAGAGUGGAAUUCCUGGUGUAGCGGUGAAAUGCGCAGAUAUCAGGAAGAACACCCGUGGCUAAGGCGGCUCUCUAGUACGGUACUGACGCUGAGACGCGAAGGCGUGGGGGAGCGAACAGG